UUUCCCAUUGCUUCUGGAAUUUCUCUUCCCCUCCGUUCCGCUCUGAGAGGUGUCCACGUGUCCAGGGCUGAGCUGCGCAGCGGUGGUGGGAGGUGCCCCGCGGAGGACGUGCUGCAGGGUUCCAGGGAGCUAAUGAGUCAUUUGAACAAGUAAAUGUGGAGAAGGCAAUGGAGGCCAGGCGAGAGCAGUGGCCAGAAGAGAGUGAAGAACAGCAAUAACCUUGAGGAACGCUGGAUCGGUAAGGGAAGAACUCCUCAAGUGAGCAUGCGCACAACCUCAGUGACCACGCCCUGCGCGCGGCCCCGCCCAGGUGUGGCAGGCCACCGUGCGCGCGCUCAGCCCACCCCAAGGGAGGAAUCAGGGGACCAGGGAAGCAACAAGGACCCAAGUCAGCGGUUACGCCCGGCACCAGCAUCUCUCCAGCUGCCUGCUGGGCCCUCUUCCAAGCAUGCUUUAUUUCCUUUUGUUCCUACUCCAAAACUUUUUAAUAAACUUUUACUCCUGCUCUAAAACUUGCCUCGAGCACGCUCGAUCUCUCUGUCUCUGCCUGAUGCCCCCCAGUUGAACUCUUUCUUCUAGGGAAACCGAGGAAGCAAAACUGAGAUUGCUGCGGACCCAGCGGUUGCCGUUGGGUCUGACGCGCUGUGGCUGUGACUUGGUUACGUUCACUAGCGGUGAGCCCCUCGAUGCCUGGCCUUCCUUGGCUGGAGGUGUUCAACCCCCGACAUGCAGUUUUCUUCUCCCUCUUGCCCCCCUGCUCACUAACCAACCUCGGAACGAUUCCUCUCCGCCGCAGUGGCUCUGCUCCCAGGCUGAUCUCCCCGCCUACCCCGACAGGACACACAACAACGGGAAGCACAAACCACAGAUUCCUACCAGAAGGAAAAGACUUGUCUAAUUCAAAGAUUAUAAAGGUAAAGAGGUAUUUAUGUUAAGGAAGGUUAUAAAGAAAAGAAUUGUUAUAUGAGAAAGGAUCUUUUUCUUAUACAACAUUUGUCGCCCAAGCUGGAGUAUAGUGGCACAAUCUCGGCUCACUGCAACCUCCACCUCCCAGGUUUGAGUGAUUCUCCUGCCUCAGCCUCCCGAGUAGCUGGAACUACAGGUGCACACCACCACACCCAGCUAAUUUUUUGUAUUUUAGUAGAGACAGGGUUUCACCUUGUUGCCCAGGCUUGUCUCAAACUCCUGACUCAAGCAAUCUGCCCACCUCGGCCUCCCAAAGUGCUAGGAUUACAGGCAUGAGCCACUGUGCCUGGUCGAGAAAGGAUCUUUGGUCGUAAAUUUCUGUCCUAAAGAAAAAGAACUAACUGUUUAAAAAGAGGGAUGCUUCGGACAAGUGAGAAGUCCAAGCUUUUCAUAGACGGUCUGUUUAAGUCAUGAAAAGAUUUGUGGAAGGGAAUUUAUAAAAGAAAUAUUAUAUAAUUUUAUUUUCUUUAUUUUUUAUUAUUUUUUAAAUGUUUGAGUACAUAGUAGGCAUAUGUAUGUAUGGUGUUCAUGUAUGGAGAUAUUUUGAUACAAGCAUGCAAUGGGUAAUAACCACAUCAGGAGGCCGGGCGCGGUGGCUCAAGCCUGUAAUCCCAGCACUUUGGGAGGCCGAGGCGGGUGGAUCACGAGGUCAAGAGAUCGAGACCAUCCUGAUCAACAUGGUAAAACCCCGUCUCUACUAAAAAUACAAAAAUUAGCUGGGCAUGGUGGCGCGUGCCUGUAAUCCCAGGUACUCAGGAGGCUGAGGCAGGAGAAUUGCCUGAACCCAGGAGGCGGAGGUUGCGGUGAGCGGAGACUGCGCCAUUGCACUCCAGCCUGGGUAACAAGAGCGAAACUCUGUCUCAAAAAAUAAUAGUAAUAAUAAUCACAUCAGGAUAAAUGGGGUAUCUAUCACUUCAAGCAUUCAUCCUUUCUUUGUGUUACAAAGAAUCUAAUUAUAGUCAUGAUUAUGUUUAAAUGUACAAUAAAUUAUUGUUUAUUAUUGCUGUGGUCACCCUGCUGUGCUGUCAAAUACUAGAUCUUAUGCGUUGUAUCUAACUAGAGUGUCAUACCCACUUCCACUCCUCCCCUGCCCUUCCCAGACUUGUAACCGUCAUUUUAACACGAAUGUGAAUUACAAUGUUCUAAGGUGACUUUAGAAAUGUUUUGCUUCUCAGUAAUUUUGUGACGUGAACAAACAUUACCAAAAACAAAAGCUUCUGUCUUUUCUAGUAAAAUAUCCUAUGGUAGAAUUUCAAAUAUCAUGUUGGAUUAUUUUCAUGUUUAUUUGGAUGAAAAUAAGGUAUGGGAAGUAAGUGUGAUUAUCUCAUUUUUAGGCUGUUUGUAAACUUUCUUUAGAAGUUCAGAACUACUUCUAAUCUGAUAAAGAUAAUAAUGUUAUGUACCUUCACAGAGAACAAGCAUGGAUUUUAACCUGUUAAAUUGAAAUUCAUACUAUUGAAUAAAUGAAUAAAUUAGUAAAUAAAUAGAUAAAUAAGUAAAUAAAUGGAGGAAGGAGUGAAAGUUCUUUCUUACAGUAGAAAGCCAAGUAAUAAAUGAAGAAGGAAUGAUGAAAAUAGCAAACCACAAUAUGACACUAUUAUGCCUAUGAUUUAUUCAGAUAGGGAUCAUCUAUAAAUGUUAAGGCUGAUGGGUGGAAGUUGUUAGGAUCAGGAUUUUAGCACAAUUUUAGAAAAUCUCCCCACAAAAUGUUUAUAAAUUGCAAAGGUGAAAAUGGUGACUCAGCGAAGGAGAAAUAUGGAAGACCCCAGCAUGACCAGGCAAUCCAGAUGAACAUCACCAGAGACGGGACAGGACCCAUCAUGUGCUGUCAUGUGCAGAGCCCAGGAUCCUGACCAUCAUCUUCCUCUCAAGAGCUCAUGGCAAGGUCUGGCCAAAAUGAAAUAUCAGAUGGAAGCAGGUGGCUCACACCUGUAAUCCCAGCACUUUGGGAGGCCGAGGUGGGCAGAUCACUUGAGCCCAGGAGUUUGAGACCAGCCUGAGCAACAUGAAACCCUGUCUCUGCAAAAGAUACAAAAAUUAGCGUGGUGUGGUGGCACACGCCUGUAGUCGCAGAUACUUGGGAGGCUGAAGUAGAAGGAUCACCUGAGCCUGAGGAGGUCAAGGCUGAAGUGAGCCACGAUCACACCACUGCACUCCAGCCUCGGUGACGGAGUGAGAUCCUGUCUCAAAAUAAAAACAAAAACAAAAAACUGAAGGAUGUGGAAGACAGGGAAAGACUAAGAAAUUAUUCCAUGUUGAAGGACAUCUCCUUCCAUCUGGACAUGUGACAGGUGAAAGCAGUGCGUGCUCCUGGACUGGAUCCUGGACCUGAAGGGGAAGAGAGACGUGGUGAGCUGAGCCAGUAAAAUUUAAAUGGGGUCUGUGGAUUGGGUCCCAGUGUUGUGCCCAUGUUUAUUUCUGCCUUGGAGGGUUUGUAUUAGUUUCUAGCACUGCCAUAAUAAUUUACCACAAACUGCAUGGCUUUAAACAACAGAAAUGUAUUCUCUUGAAGUUCUGGGGGCUAGAAGCCCAAAACCAACAUGUCAGUAAGCUUGGUUCCUUCCAGAGACUGUGAUGGAGAAACUGUCUCGUGCCUCUCUCCUCGCUUCUGAUGGUUGCUGGCAAUCCUUGGGGUGCCUUGGUUUGUGGCAGCGGAACCACAGUCUCUGCGUCGGUCUUCACAUGGCUACUUGUGUGUGUCUCUGUCUCUCCUUGUCCUCACCUUUUCUUAUGAUGACACCAGUCUAUUGGAUUUAGGGUCCACCCCAAUCCUUGGAUGGAGUCAAUCGGAGAUCCUUCAUUACAUGUGUAAUGACCCUAUUUCAAAAGAAGGUCACAUUUUGAAGUUUUAGGAGGACAUGAAUUUGGGGGGAAGACUAUUCAAUCCAUUAAAAGGUUAUAUCUAAAAAUGUAUUCUGGAGUGUUUAAAGGUGAUAGACAUUAUGAUUGCAGCUUGCUCUAAAUGGUUCAGAAAAUGAUAAUAGGGGAUUCGAGAGUUCUUUGUAUACUGUUGAAAGACAAAAUUACAACACAUUUAAAGAUUUUAACUGACUUUUAUGUGCGAUUCUAAAAUCAGGCUACCCCUCAUUCUGUAUAAUAGAAUGGCUGCUCCAGUAAGCAGAUGACAUGGUUUGGCUGUGUCCCCACCCAAAUCUCAUCUUGAAUUGUAGCUCCCAUAAUUCCCAUGUGUUGUAGGAGGGACCCAUUGGGAGGUAAUUGAAUCCCGGGGGCAGGUUUUUCCUGUGCUGUUCUUGUGAUCGUGAAUGAGUCUCAUGAGAUCUGACGGUUUUAUAAAGGGCCGGUCCCCUGCACGCACUGUCCUGCCUGCCACCAGUUUUGUUCCUCCUUUACUUUCUGCCAUGAUGGUGAGGCAUCCUCAGCCAUGUGGAAC
Long non-coding RNA from Callithrix jacchus (white-tufted-ear marmoset), 4357 nucleotides. RefSeq lists it as uncharacterized. NCBI's taxonomy places the organism in Eukaryota, Metazoa, Chordata, Mammalia, Primates, Cebidae. The record is from RefSeq and is a predicted model, not a curated record.